UCCGACGCGCGCCCGCUCGGUUGUUGUUUUUAUUGUUCUACACAACAACAACAACAACAACAAGCUAACAAAACAAAAAUCGCCCUGAACGGGCCAAAUGGCGCAUCUGAGCUGAAAAUGAAAACUUCCGCGUGCGUGAGCGGUAAAUGAGGUGGGACUCGGGAGGUCCUCCCCAGAAGCCUACGAUGAAUCCCAAAUUACUUUGUUAGAUAAUUAGAAAGUGUUAAUAAUUAUUUCUUUCAUAAUUCAGCGGUGUGACUGUAACAGGAAAAUGAUCUUGUGAAAGUUCACACGUGCAGAUGUAUUAGUUACUGAUUCAUUUGAUUAAAUGCUAGUCUCAAGUGCUCUGAUCCACAGCUGAAGGCGGCCCCAUUAGCAUAACACUGAUGUUUAAUUUUCAUACGCAUAAUUAGCCAUAUAUUUAACACUAAUAGCAACAUGCAGCCUUUCAGCAUUAAACAGCCUGGGAUUUGAUCUGGCCUGGGCUGAACUUUCCCGGCUACACCUAGACUGUGUAGGGUGCGCAGUUAUCACGGUACCAAAUCUAUGUAAUCAAGCACAUUUUGGCAAAGGGAGAACACCAAUAAAAAUGAACAUUCAAAACAAAUCGCAUUGCUGAUGUCGUUAGAGGUAUUAGCGCAGACUUCUCUUCCCCCAGCCGCGGUGCCCGCGCCGCCGCGCAGCGUGUCUGGCGGAGGCAGCACUGUGCAGGCGGCGGGGCUGGCACUCGCUGCCCCAGCGCACGCGGAUCCCGCUGACAGCCUUUAAAAGAUAUUUAAACUUUUUCGGGCAGUGACGGCCCUUGAAGCAACCAGCUAAUGGCUGUGUGCAAAGCUGACAAGAUUGAGCCCCUCUACUCCUUUAUUUAUUUAUCUAUUUAUUCCUGUUUCCUUCUUGGCACUGUCGGUUUUAAUUGCCCAUUUCUUAACGUCUCUUUUACUUUUGUUUUUUUUUGUUGUUGUUGUUUUGCUUUGUUUUGCUUUUUUGCGCGCAAUGCCUAAAGUUCAUUUUCAUACGAUAGCCGCGGACUGGUGCGGGAAGGGGCAGCAGUGGCGCAUCCCCGCACGGACCCCUCUGGCAAGCAGCUCUGCCCCGGGCGAUAUGAAAACUUUAUCACCAACCGUCUUGAAGAGCAGCGUGAUCUAAACGGCUGAAGUUGCUACACAAGCCUGACUCAUGCCAGUAGGCAGAGGACAUGCUUGGGAAGCACAGAAGGAGACAACGGAUCUACGAGGGUGGCUCUUACUUCAGGAUCUGUAUGAAUGCACCAUCUUUUUAUUGAAAAGUGAUCACGUUUUUCUUAGAAAUAUUGUUAGCAAAAUGACCACUGAAUGCCACUUUGCUUUUCUUCAGUUCUUGAAAACAGCAUGAGCCUGGAGUAGAUAUGCUCACAAUACAAAUAUUUAUUCUGAGUACUACCAUAUCUGAUUUGAGAAAUUACAAAAUUCUACUGGGAAACUCUUAAAAGUAUUUUUCUCUUAAAUAGCAAUCUUAGACUGAGGGAAUGCACAAGUUCUGGGAUUCCCUGUAAUGACAAUAAAUGUUGAGGUAUAAUUAGUAAUAUUUUAGAAAGCCAACAAUUGUUUUUUGAAAGAAAGGUACAUUUUAGUUUCAAACUGGAACACAAAUUACUGUAUUUUUCUUAUAAUAGUGCUGAACUUUUAUUUGAGGUUCUCUGUUUUUGAAAGCAGACAUGAUGGAUUGAAAUAAAAGAUAAUUUAUUGCAAUGCUUACUUUCAAGUGCAGAGAGAAGCAGUGUAAUUGUAAUUUACAGUAGCUGUCAAGGAAAAUCUAUCACAGAUGACAUUAAAAUGACUUAUUUUGCCUGAGCCACUUAUUGUUUAAAUGUGCAUAAUCUGAUAGAAACAGAGUUUUUAAAAUCUGCUUUAUAUUGUUCUAAAUUAAUAUCAAAACAUAUACUUAUGAGUUAAACAUUUUAAACCAUUUAUUAAUACUUUCAUCACUACAAUUUUUUUUCCCAGGAGUUAGAAAUUGAUUUAUUUAACAACAUCACAUUUAUGUUUUGUAGCUCUAUAUACUCACAACACUUUCACGUAUCUAAACUGGCUGUCUAAAAAGUAGAUUUCAAACCAGAUUUGUUUCUAUUUGAAGGAGGAAUGUCUUAAAUGGCAGGAGAAAACAGACCACGGCGCCCAAUUCUGUUCCCGCCAGAGCUGACCGACAGUUUUGCCAUCAUCUUCAGUAAGAAAGAUUCAAAAAUUUCUCGGCAAAGUAAUUCAUAAAUCCACGCAAUUUUUUAUUUGCAGCUUUUAGCUGCAGGUAGCAAGUUGCUGCCGUCCAUCGAACACUGCGUUGCAGGUACCAAGCUUCCGUAACAAAGAACACGUCAGAACACUGAAUGCAAACUUACCUCUCUGAUAUAAUUACAGCCAAACCUACUCUAGAAAAGCAAACAGGCUGUGAUAUCUCAGAUAGGUUGUGUAAAUCACUUGAGUAUCUUCAUAGAAAACACCGAUGAAAGACAUCUAGGCACAUUUCCGUUCUGAUGGGCCUAAACGUUUCCGGCUUACAGGUACUUUUCCUCAGGUAUUUAUGCUCUUUAACUCUCCUGAAACUUAAAAUUUUGAUGUACGUAUGCAUGUAUGCAUGUAGGUAUAUAUGUAUGCAAAUGCAGAAUGACGACUAACCAGAAGCCCUGUGCUUCAACAAACCAAGACAAUCUUGCAGCAGAGGCAGCCGUAAAGUAGUUCCAAACAAAUCAGCACAUUUAAAUAGUCUGCACGAUAAAAUCUGCGAGAAUAAAGUUAAUGACCUGGUCUUUCAUGUGCAGUUUUGAGCAGCCACUAGUUCUGAUUAAACCGCUUUUCAAAGGGGGCGCUGAAUAUAUAUUUACACUUUGCAAGUAAACCGACCUCCAUAACAACAUAGCAAAAAUCCAAUGUCACUUUGAAUUAUCUUCUUCUUGUUUUUUUUUUUUUUAAUACAGCUAGAAUUAAUGUAGUGAAUCUGUAAUGAAAUGCAUUAUCCUGCAUGGAGAUUUAUCAGAUUUUCCGACUGAAUGCCAUGCUUUGCUAGCACUAGCUGGAGUUCACCUGCAUGUUGGUGUGGCGUGUGGCUCUUUUUUGUAAAGAGUUAAGUUGAACACAAAAAAAGGGAACAAAGGUCAGCACCCAGCCGCCACUUGAAUGUGAGAUUUUUCUUUUUAUUCCCCUUGAUGUAUACUAGGCUCUGUGUUAUUAGUCUUAAUGAUGGAAAAUUGUAGUGUUGAUACAAAUCUUUUUUUCAAAGUAGUAGGCGGGAGCUCCAUUUGUUAGUAAGUUUUUUUGUGACUAAAAGCCAUGGACAGUACAUUUAUGUAGCAGUAAAAGGCCUAGAUGCUCUUUCCAUAGCAGAGCUAAUUAUUCCUACUGUGACCUUACUGAUCUACCCUGUUCCUAGUACAUCUCAUCUGCACGCCUGUUCCUCUGUGUAGAUGGUGUCAGAGAAUAUGAAAAACCCUAUAAUGAAACCAUUUUCAUGAUGGAGAAAGGCUACUGGAGUUGCACUUGCUACAAAGAGGCUCAAUUAUAUGAGUAAUUGUGAUAAUUUUCUACAUUCAUAGCCUUCAAUGGGGAAAAAAGAAUGAGAGCCACAAAGGAAAAUUACUUUAACAAGAAAGUACAGAGAGUAAAAAUGGAAGAAGAGACAAAAAAGGGGAAAAAAAAUAACCAGAAAAAAAGUUUAAAAAAUAGAUCUGGAGGGAGGAAUAGCAAGACAGGGAGAACAACAGAAAUGCUCAAAAAGCCUAUGUGCAGCUGUGUUGCACAAUUAAAUUGAAUUUUUUUUCCUGCAGUUGAUGAAUGUGACUACUGCAAAUGUGCCUCUGUAGUUAGCUAUCAUUUGUUGUUCCGUGACAGGAAAAGGAUAAUUACCUCUCAGAGAGAAUCAAAGGCUGACAUGCCCUUUAGACACAGCCAUGAAUGCAGAGCUCGCUCGAAUGCUUGAAUAAGAAUCCAGUGUUCUGUGCCCCCUUCUACUCAAGAAUAAAUUUUGUUAAAAUGCAAGAGCACCACCAGUAAAUUUGUUGAACCCUAGGUGUUCAAAAAUAUGAGGUGCAUCUAUCGACUCAUCCCAUUUGCAAAAAUAAAACUACAUUUUGAAUUCGCUUCUAUUAUAUUCAUGGACAGUAAGAUAGUGAGAUAUGCAUUAAAUUUCUUUUCCCAGUAGGGGUCUGAUUCAACAUUUCCUAUGAAAGAACAGAAAGACACUAUCCUUUUUCUCCAGGCUAGUUAGCCUAUAAUUUAAAACUGUCAAAAACACAAUUUUAUACAAAGUCUUCAAUAAAAGCUUCUCAGAUAUAACCCAAAGAGGUUUUACUAAAGUUUGA
Non-coding RNA from Struthio camelus australis, 4327 nucleotides. Lineage: Eukaryota; Metazoa; Chordata; Aves; Struthioniformes; Struthionidae. The record is from RefSeq and is a predicted model, not a curated record.